AGCUUUGUUCAGUGGCAGUAUCGUAGCCAGUGAGGUUUAUCUGAGGUGCGAUUAUUGCUAAUUAAAAUAUAGAGGAUAUAAAUAAUAAUAUAUGAAGCAUCUAUGUUUCUGCCUCCAAGAGUUUAUAAUAGUCAAUAAUUUGU
Molecule: small nuclear RNA, 143 nt
Organism: Suricata suricatta (meerkat)
Lineage: Eukaryota; Metazoa; Chordata; Mammalia; Carnivora; Herpestidae
Gene: U4
Rfam family: U4 spliceosomal RNA
About the family: U4 small nuclear RNA (U4 snRNA) is a component of the major U2-dependent spliceosome. The structure of U4 snRNA from yeast and human has been reported.
Source: Ensembl